This 497-nucleotide ribosomal RNA is filed under the name uncultured bacterium. RNAcentral describes it as "partial 16S ribosomal RNA". It matches the Rfam family "Bacterial small subunit ribosomal RNA", at positions 28 to 507 of the family's 1533-position model. The record is from RNAcentral.
GAUGAACGCUGGCGGCGUGCCUAAUACAUGCAAGUCGAGCGAACAGACGAGGAGCUUUCUCCUCUGACGUUAGCGGCGGACGGGUGAGUAACACGUGGAUAACCUACCUAUAAGACUGGGAUAACUUCGGGAAACCGGAGCUAAUACCGGAUAAUAUAUUAAACCGCAUGGUUCAAUAGUUAAAUACGGUUUUGCUGUCACUUAUAGAUGGAUCCGCGCCGCAUUAGCUAGUUGGUAAGGUAACGGCUUACCAAGGCAACGAAGCGUAGCCGACCUGAGAGGGUGAUCGACCACACUGGAACUGAGACACGGUCCAGACUCCUACGGGAGGCAGCAGUAGGGAAUCUUCCGCAAUGGGCGAAAGCCUGACGGAGCAACGCCGCGUGAGUGAUGAAGGUCUUCGGAUCGUAAAACUCUGUUAUUAGGGAAGAACAAAUGUGUAAGUAACUAUGCACGUCUUGACGGUACCUAAUCAGAAAGCCACGGCUAACUACGUG